UCGAUCUGUAGCUUAGUUGGUCAGAGCGCUGCACCGAAAACGCAGGGCUGCACGUUCGAUUCCUGCCAGGGAC
RNAcentral lists this transfer RNA (73 nucleotides) under Paramuricea clavata. RNAcentral describes it as "tRNA-Phe". The stretch from base 6 to 69 matches the Rfam family "tRNA", at positions 5 to 66 of the family's 71-position model. From Rfam's summary of the family: Transfer RNA (tRNA) molecules are approximately 80 nucleotides in length. Their secondary structure includes four short double-helical elements and three loops (D, anti-codon, and T loops). Further hydrogen bonds mediate the characteristic L-shaped molecular structure. tRNAs have two regions of fundamental functional importance: the anti-codon, which is responsible for specific mRNA codon recognition, and the 3' end, to which the tRNAs corresponding amino acid is attached (by aminoacyl-tRNA synthetases). tRNAs cope with the degeneracy of the genetic code in two manners: having more than one tRNA (with a specific anti-codon) for a particular amino acid; and 'wobble' base-pairing, i.e. permitting non-standard base-pairing at the 3rd anti-codon position. Lineage: Eukaryota; Metazoa; Cnidaria; Anthozoa; Malacalcyonacea; Plexauridae. The record is from RNAcentral.